AGACCUCCCCGGUCCAGGGAGCAAACCGAGUUGUGCAGGCUGAGGGGCAGUCCGUAAUCUCCGUCUUGU
RNAcentral lists this non-coding RNA (69 nucleotides) under Oxyrrhis marina. Lineage: Eukaryota; Dinophyceae; Oxyrrhinales; Oxyrrhinaceae. The record is from RNAcentral.